AACGUAGGAGACGAGCGUUAUCCGGAUUUACUGGGCGUAAAGCGCGUGCAGGCGGUUAGGUAAGUCACUUGUGAAAGCGCCCGGCUCAACUGGGCGAGGCCGUGUGAGACUGCUUGACUUGAGAGAGGUAGAGGCGAAUGGAAUUCCGGGUGGAGUGGUGAAAUGCGUAGAGAUCCGGAGGAACACCAGUGGCGAAGGCGAUUCGCUGGGCCUGCUCUGACGCUCAGACGCGACAGCAUGGGGAGCGAACGGGAUUAGAAACCCCCGUAGUCC
Molecule: ribosomal RNA, 273 nt
Filed under: uncultured bacterium
Lineage: Bacteria
Description: partial 16S ribosomal RNA
Rfam family: Bacterial small subunit ribosomal RNA
Source: RNAcentral